ACGCUCGACACCUACGGGAGGCAGCAGUCGGGGAAUAUUGCACAAUGGGGGAAACCCUGAUGCAGCGACGCCGCGUGGAGGAAGAAGGUCUUCGGAUUGUAAACUCCUGUUGUUGGGGAAAAAGAGGAUGGUACCCAACAAGGAAGUGACGGCUAACUACGUGCCGGCAGCGCGGUAAUCUGAGCGGGCUGGCAAGGC
This 198-nucleotide ribosomal RNA is filed under the name uncultured bacterium. RNAcentral describes it as "partial 16S ribosomal RNA". It matches the Rfam family "Bacterial small subunit ribosomal RNA", at positions 328 to 539 of the family's 1533-position model. The record is from RNAcentral.